AGAGUUUGAUCAUGGCUCAGAUUGAACGCUGGCGGCAGGCCUAACACAUGCAAGUCGAGCGGUAGAGAGAAGCUUGCUUCUCUUGAGAGCGGCGGACGGGUGAGUAAUGCCUAGGAAUCUGCCUGGUAGUGGGGGAUAACGUUCGGAAACGGACGCUAAUACCGCAUACGUCCUACGGGAGAAAGCAGGGGACCUUCGGGCCUUGCGCUAUCAGAUGAGCCUAGGUCGGAUUAGCUAGUUGGUGGGGUAAUGGCUCACCAAGGCGACGAUCCGUAACUGGUCUGAGAGGAUGAUCAGUCACACUGGAACUGAGACACGGUCCAGACUCCUACGGGAGGCAGCAGUGGGGAAUAUUGGACAAUAGGCGAAAGCCUGAUCCAGCCAUGCCGCGUGUGUGAAGAAGGUCUUCGGAUUGUAAAGCACUUUAAGUUGGGAGGAAGGGCAGUAAAUUAAUACUUUGCUGUUUUGACGUUACCGACAGAAUAAGCACCGGCUAACUCUGUGCCAGCAGCCGCGGUAAU
This 521-nucleotide ribosomal RNA is filed under the name uncultured Pseudomonas sp. RNAcentral describes it as "bacterial SSU rRNA". It matches the Rfam family "Bacterial small subunit ribosomal RNA", at positions 8 to 524 of the family's 1533-position model. Lineage: Bacteria; Pseudomonadati; Pseudomonadota; Gammaproteobacteria; Pseudomonadales; Pseudomonadaceae. The record is from RNAcentral.